GGGUUGUGAGGUUAAGCGACUAAGCGUACACGGUGGAUGCCCUGGCAGUCAGAGGCGAUGAAGGACGUGCUAAUCUGCGAUAAGCGUCGGUAAGGUGAUAUGAACCGUUAUAACCGGCGAUUUCCGAAUGGGGAAACCCAGUGUGAUUCGUCACACUAUCAUUAACUGAAUCCAUAGGUUAAUGAGGCGAACCGGGGGAACUGAAACAUCUAAGUACCCCGAGGAAAAGAAAUCAACCGAGAUUCCCCCAGUAGCGGCGAGCGAACGGGGAGCAGCCCAGAGCCUGAAUCAGUGUGUGUGUUAGUGGAAGCGUCUGGAAAGGCGCGCGAUACAGGGUGACAGCCCCGUACACAAAAAUGCACAUGCUGUGAGCUCGAUGAGUAGGGCGGGACACGUGGUAUCCUGUCUGAAUAUGGGGGGACCAUCCUCCAAGGCUAAAUACUCCUGACUGACCGAUAGUGAACCAGUACCGUGAGGGAAAGGCGAAAAGAACCCCGGCGAGGGGAGUGAAAAAGAACCUGAAACCGUGUACGUACAAGCAGUGGGAGCCUCUUUAUGGGGUGACUGCGUACCUUUUGUAUAAUGGGUCAGCGACUUAUAUUCUGUAGCAAGGUUAACCGAAUAGGGGAGCCGAAGGGAAACCGAGUCUUAACUGGGCGUUAAGUUGCAGGGUAUAGACCCGAAACCCGGUGAUCUAGCCAUGGGCAGGUUGAAGGUUGGGUAACACUAACUGGAGGACCGAACCGACUAAUGUUGAAAAAUUAGCGGAUGACUUGUGGCUGGGGGUGAAAGGCCAAUCAAACCGGGAGAUAGCUGGUUCUCCCCGAAAGCUAUUUAGGUAGCGCCUCGUGAAUUCAUCUCCGGGGGUAGAGCACUGUUUCGGCAAGGGGGUCAUCCCGACUUACCAACCCGAUGCAAACUGCGAAUACCGGAGAAUGUUAUCACGGGAGACACACGGCGGGUGCUAACGUCCGUCGUGAAGAGGGAAACAACCCAGACCGCCAGCUAAGGUCCCAAAGUCAUGGUUAAGUGGGAAACGAUGUGGGAAGGCCCAGACAGCCAGGAUGUUGGCUUAGAAGCAGCCAUCAUUUAAAGAAAGCGUAAUAGCUCACUGGUCGAGUCGGCCUGCGCGGAAGAUGUAACGGGGCUAAACCAUGCACCGAAGCUGCGGCAGCGACGCUUAUGCGUUGUUGGGUAGGGGAGCGUUCUGUAAGCCUGUGAAGGUGUGCUGUGAGGCAUGCUGGAGGUAUCAGAAGUGCGAAUGCUGACAUAAGUAACGAUAAAGCGGGUGAAAAGCCCGCUCGCCGGAAGACCAAGGGUUCCUGUCCAACGUUAAUCGGGGCAGGGUGAGUCGACCCCUAAGGCGAGGCCGAAAGGCGUAGUCGAUGGGAAACAGGUUAAUAUUCCUGUACUUGGUGUUACUGCGAAGGGGGGACGGAGAAGGCUAUGUUGGCCGGGCGACGGUUGUCCCGGUUUAAGCGUGUAGGCUGGUUUUCCAGGCAAAUCCGGAAAAUCAAGGCUGAGGCGUGAUGACGAGGCACUACGGUGCUGAAGCAACAAAUGCCCUGCUUCCAGGAAAAGCCUCUAAGCAUCAGGUAACAUCAAAUCGUACCCCAAACCGACACAGGUGGUCAGGUAGAGAAUACCAAGGCGCUUGAGAGAACUCGGGUGAAGGAACUAGGCAAAAUGGUGCCGUAACUUCGGGAGAAGGCACGCUGAUAUGUAGGUGAAGUCCCUCGCGGAUGGAGCUGAAAUCAGUCGAAGAUACCAGCUGGCUGCAACUGUUUAUUAAAAACACAGCACUGUGCAAACACGAAAGUGGACGUAUACGGUGUGACGCCUGCCCGGUGCCGGAAGGUUAAUUGAUGGGGUCAGCGCAAGCGAAGCUCUUGAUCGAAGCCCCGGUAAACGGCGGCCGUAACUAUAACGGUCCUAAGGUAGCGAAAUUCCUUGUCGGGUAAGUUCCGACCUGCACGAAUGGCGUAAUGAUGGCCAGGCUGUCUCCACCCGAGACUCAGUGAAAUUGAACUCGCUGUGAAGAUGCAGUGUACCCGCGGCAAGACGGAAAGACCCCGUGAACCUUUACUAUAGCUUGACACUGAACAUUGAGCCUUGAUGUGUAGGAUAGGUGGGAGGCUUAGAAGUGUGGACGCCAGUCUGCAUGGAGCCGACCUUGAAAUACCACCCUUUAAUGUUUGAUGUUCUAACGUUGACCCGUAAUCCGGGUUGCGGACAGUGUCUGGUGGGUAGUUUGACUGGGGCGGUCUCCUCCUAAAGAGUAACGGAGGAGCACGAAGGUUGGCUAAUCCUGGUCGGACAUCAGGAGGUUAGUGCAAUGGCAUAAGCCAGCUUGACUGCGAGCGUGACGGCGCGAGCAGGUGCGAAAGCAGGUCAUAGUGAUCCGGUGGUUCUGAAUGGAAGGGCCAUCGCUCAACGGAUAAAAGGUACUCCGGGGAUAACAGGCUGAUACCGCCCAAGAGUUCAUAUCGACGGCGGUGUUUGGCACCUCGAUGUCGGCUCAUCACAUCCUGGGGCUGAAGUAGGUCCCAAGGGUAUGGCUGUUCGCCAUUUAAAGUGGUACGCGAGCUGGGUUUAGAACGUCGUGAGACAGUUCGGUCCCUAUCUGCCGUGGGCGCUGGAGAACUGAGGGGGGCUGCUCCUAGUACGAGAGGACCGGAGUGGACGCAUCACUGGUGUUCGGGUUGUCAUGCCAAUGGCACUGCCCGGUAGCUAAAUGCGGAAGAGAUAAGUGCUGAAAGCAUCUAAGCACGAAACUUGCCCCGAGAUGAGUUCUCCCUGACUCCUUGAGAGUCCUGAAGGAACGUUGAAGACGACGACGUUGAUAGGCCGGGUGUGUAAGCGCAGCGAUGCGUUGAGCUAACCGGUACUAAUGAACCGUGAGGCUUAACCUUACAACGCCGAAGGUGUUU
Molecule: ribosomal RNA, 2930 nt
Filed under: Escherichia coli
Lineage: Bacteria; Pseudomonadati; Pseudomonadota; Gammaproteobacteria; Enterobacterales; Enterobacteriaceae
Description: 23S ribosomal RNA
Rfam family: Bacterial large subunit ribosomal RNA
Source: RNAcentral